CCGAUAACAGAAGUGCAUCUUGUGGCAUUGCCUCCCUGCUGCCCUGUUCUGUGUGGCUCCAUAUACCUGUUACACUGUGUGAAGCCAAACUCUCCUGCACCACUUGCCAACAACAUUGUGCUGCGGCAGGCAAUUAAACCAAAAAGCCUCUCAAAGAACUCUUCAGCUCCUGUGGCCACAGCUCCCAGUUCCUCCACAGUGGCAGAGCAGCCUUGGACUGUGCUGUGAAUCCUCUGGUCUGGCAAGUCCGGGCUAACCCAAAGCACCCC
Molecule: long non-coding RNA, 269 nt
Organism: Passer domesticus (house sparrow)
Lineage: Eukaryota; Metazoa; Chordata; Aves; Passeriformes; Passeridae
Exons: 3
Source: RefSeq, a predicted model, not a curated record